GCAGGCUCUGCGGUGCCGGCCGACCCCGGAAGCGUGUGUGUUCCGAGCGGAGGCGCGGGUCGCGGGUGCGGUGCUGAGAGCGCUUGCCUGUGCGCCCCGAGCGGGGCUGGGACUCUUCCAGGAUGCCCACGUUCGCACAGAGACCUCGGAUCGCGGAAGCUCGCGUCUCAAAACGCUUGUGGUCACCCGGCCGCCGGGGUUCUUGCGUUUGUAACGUCUUAACAUCGCUGAUCGACCACAGCUGUGCAGGAGGGGCAGUAGGUAUCUGUUGCUACAGUUACCGGAACCUUUGCCAGGACUAGUGCAGAACCACGGGCUGGCAGCUCAGGGAGGGAUGUCUUGUCUGUUACAACUGCAAGCUCUCCAGUAAAGAAGGAAUUUCCUCUUCUACACAGCUGGUUUUUCAUUGGUGCUGCUUGCCCAUUCCCUGAGCUGUGACUGCCCGAGGAGUGGGAGGUUGGUGGUGCCUCCAGCCAAUCAGGGGCAGACCCCGGGGCUGCCUGGGAACAGGACUAUGGCACAAACCGAAUGAGUGCUGGGAGCAACCCACAGGGCUCUGCGCAUGCAUGUCUUCCUUCACUGACAUGAAAUGCAGAAAAGGCAGCUUUGCCACAGCACAGCAGAAUGCACAGAACGUGGCCGCACAAGGCUCUGUCCUUAACCCCGUUGUCCAGAAGCCAUUUACCAAGGGCUCACAGGCACUGAGUGCCCCGUGCACAUAGCCAGACACUGCACUCAUGCAGCGGAAAGGACAGUGAACGAGACUUGGUCCCUGGCCUCCAAAGUCAUAGGGCGUAGCGGCUGUCAUCAGGCAGUGACGAGGGCCAGGAGGGGGACCUCUUAAGGGGCCAUGCAGUUAUGGAAGCCAAAAAGAAAGGCGGCCUGCAGUGAGGAUGGAGUGGUCGGCCUGAAGCCAUCUCUAGCAAGUGGCCAGGACUCUGAUUGUUCUCUGCAGGUUGGAGGUAGGUGGUGAGUCUGAGAAAGGGGCCAGAAAGACUCCCCAGCAACUGCUGGCAAAGGGUGAAGGGCACAUUGCCACAGGAUGCAAGCCACCUGCCUUUGCAGGGGGGAAGAUGGGCACUCAGCUCAGGCGCUCCUAUGGCAGGGUCAGCAAGACAAGCAGGUUGCAGCAGGGGUCUGUGCACUGCUGUGUAAAUGUGGGGGGCAUCAGCAGGUAGACAGAGCCUUCCUGGGGCAGAAAGACCAGGGGAGAAGUGUGCAUCAUCCUUGGGGUUAAGGGAUAGUUGUCUGUUGGAUGUUGCUUCCUGGAGAUGCCUGAAAAGCCAGUUCAGCCUUCGGGGACCAGGCCACCACCCACCUGAUGUGAGCGUUUCCUCCAGUCCCUGCUGGGUGCUGAAUCUGGCGGACAGGGAAGCUGAGGGUGCUGUUCUGAGUGGCGGCUGAACUGAGCCACAGGGCCCUGCUGGACGCAAGAACACUGGAGGCCAGGGGAAGACAGGGCUGAGGUCAGCCCUGAGCGGAAUGGAGUAGGGACUCAGGGUGGGUCAGGGAACUGGAAAGUGGGCACUGUGCACGCAGCCCUUGAGGGGAGCCCAGGUAGGGACCCCCCACCAUGUGCAGAAGGCAGCUGCCUGCUCAGCUGCAUCCCACAGC
RNA transcript from Cercocebus atys (sooty mangabey), 1614 nucleotides. RefSeq lists it as uncharacterized. NCBI's taxonomy places the organism in Eukaryota, Metazoa, Chordata, Mammalia, Primates, Cercopithecidae. The transcript has 4 exons. The record is from RefSeq and is a predicted model, not a curated record.